AUUGAACGCUGGCGGCAGGCCUAACACAUGCAAGUCGAGCGACCGGCGGACGGGUGAGGAAUGGAUGGGGACUGCCCGCGAGAGGGGGAUAAGUACUGGAAUCGGUAGCUAAUACCGCAUACUAUCGGAUAACCCAUAUGGGAUUAGCUAGUAGGUGAGGUAAUGGCUCACCUAGGCGACGAUCCCUAGCUGGUCUGAGAGGAGGAUCAGCCACGCUGGGACUGAGACACGGCCCAGACUCCUACGGAGGCAGCAGUGGGGAAUAUUGCACAAUGGGCGCAAGCCUGAUCCAGCCAUGCCGCGUGUAUGAUGAAGGCCCUAGGGUUGUAAAGUACUUUCAGUCGGGAGGCGUUACCGACAGAAGAAGCACCGGCUAACUACGUGCCAGCAGCCGCGGUAAUAC
RNAcentral lists this ribosomal RNA (403 nucleotides) under uncultured bacterium. Its description in RNAcentral is "partial 16S ribosomal RNA". It matches the Rfam family "Bacterial small subunit ribosomal RNA", at positions 30 to 526 of the family's 1533-position model. The record is from RNAcentral.